GCGGAGGAGGCGGUGCCAGUGCCCCCCCCCCCGUCCCGACUACGCAAACAACAACAAUCCCUAGUUGAAACAUUUAGCAAUAGCAGGUUGUAACAUUUUUGCAGUUCAGCUCUGAAAGGAAAAGCGGAGGGCCUGAUUGGACCACGUUGAUGUUGGUACAGGACCAGAGAGCUAAACGGGGACUGCAGACUCAACUCAGUUUGGGACAGCCGAGGUGGUUUGGAGACCUUGUUUCUGACUUUAGACCUAGGUGUUGAGACGGAGGGUUACGAUGGCUGUUAGCAGGUUUGACAUAGAUGCGCCGCGGUGGGAUCAGUCCAAGUUUAUUGGCAGACUGAAGCACUUUGUCAACAUCACAGACUGGAGGACAGUACUACUGCCACGACUGGACGAGUCUAAAGCACUGGUGGAGAGCUGCAGAGCAGCUUCCCUUCCCCCACAGAGGAACAGCUGCAUUACGCCAAGAAGCUCUAUGACUCCGCCUUUCACCCAGACACCGGCGAUUGCAUGAACCUGAUUGGUCGAAUGUCCUUCCAAGUGCCCGGAGGGAUGGCCAGAACAGGCGGUAUGCUACAGUUCUACAGUCCCUGCUCUCGUUUAACGUUCUAGUCAACUACACCAACAGAAACACUGCUUCCCCCAUCACCUCCAAUCAGAUAGGAGUGGCCUAUUUAACUGCAACUAGAACUGCACUAGCUAUUGCUGUGGGACUCAACCUCUACACAAAGAGAGCUCCUGAAUGGCAUCGCUCUAACAGAUGAGAAUGGAAACAAACUGGGUCAUUCCAAGGUAAUGUCUGAAUAAUUAAAUAUUCUACUAAAUAUCGUAUUUCUGACUGUUAUACAAGAGCAGAAAAAUUAACAUUUUCCUCUUCCUCGCGACAGAAAGCAGCUGUGAAGGUGGUCAUUUCCCAGGUUACCAUGGCAGCACCGGGCAUGAGUAGUGUCAGAGGUCGAAGAGGGAGGGCUGUAGAAUUUGAGAUCAGUCCUCACUCCAUAGACAAUGGAAAGUGGAGCGUGAUCCUGUUACUCCCUACAAUGACUCAUUCCUCUCCUUCUUUUUCCACUUGCCACUCCUUUAUCUACUUUCUCUCCUCCUGUGCUCCCUCUCUUCUUUCCCCCUCUCUUCUCCCAGUCAUUCUCCCCAUCAUGCAGAGACUGGAUGAUAACAAGUUUAUGCAGAGGAUCACCUUUGUCCACGGACCUUAACAAGUGAUAAUGGUGGGAGCGUUCCUGGUCUUCAUGGUGCCGGUAGCCUGGUCCCUGUUCUCUCAGCAAUGGUAAGUAGCUUGUCGACUGGGCAGUGUUCAGUAGGGCCCCUCCACGAUGUAGUAGCUGUUUUAGCAUCUCAUCUUCACGAUCAGCUACGGCAUGUUGUAGGUGUUGUGGAAAUUCUUACACAGGGACACUCAAAGUCGAUCUUAAAUUAAUCAUUGUUUAUUGACAGCGCGCUGAAGGGGUUCCAACAAACCUGAUGAACCAUAAUGAACGUCUGGCAGAAGCUCUAACGGGGCAGUCCUCUUAGUUCUCUUACAUACUGCAGGGCAAGUCAUAUUUACACGAUUUAGCUUAUUCAACAUGAAUUAAUCAUUAACGUUUGCUUCAUUGACUGACCAAUACCUCACGAGGCUUCUUCUCUCUAAGGUGAGACCUUGAAACUGAAAUAUCUUUCGUUCUCAAAACAAGAUCUGGGCGUACUGCCAAAUUGCAGAUAUUGAUAAGUGAGGAUUUGUUCAAUAAGUCACUUGCGUGAACACAGAAAUGAGUUAUUAGAAAAGCACAAGUAUAACAUUUCCAUCACAUAGGAUAGUGCUCAAGAUCACACCUACAGUAACAUAUUAGACGUGGUGUGGAUCUCACUCUGUCUUCCUCUCACUUUCUUUCAGCUCCAUGGGCAGUGUACAAAAUGUCUACUUCAACAAGGGCCUCUGAACACACACACACCUGCCUUCUUAAUCAUCAGCCAAACAGGGAGAGCAUCUGUAGAAAAAAAUGAGCCAAUCAGCAUCCUCAGCGAUGUCCAAUAGGAACGCUUGUAGGAGAAAUAGCUUUCUCCUGGUUUGUCUUUGUUUAUUUUCAACAAAUCUUUGUGAUUGAAGUGGAGAUGUUCUCCAGAAGACAGAGAUGUGCCACUGUACUCCAAACUGUGCCUUUAUCCACACUGGAGUACAGUGGCACAUCCCAUCCCUGCAUUGAGGUGCGUUUUUGACCCAUAUCUCAUGACGGCUCCACGUGUCUUAAUGUAACCAUGACUCCAUUCUGACACCAGAGCAGCUCGGUUUAAAUAAGUGUAACGCUAGGGUCAGUCUCUUCUGGCAAUUGGGUGGGUGUGUGUGUGUGUGUAAUAAAUGUGUAUAUAUAUAUAUAUAUAUAUUCUCUUUUUAUGCUUCUGUCCAUAAUGUGGACAGAAGUGACGCUACUAACCAUGUACAGUUUGUGCUGUCUGAAUCUUCAAUCACACUUUUCAACCUCCUUUAGAAAACUGUCUGGAAGGACAAUGACCCUUUGGACAUUGUGUGUGUGUGUGUGUGUGUCCCAAAUAUAAUUUGCGUCUCAAAUGCCACUCUAUUUCCUACAUAGUACACUUCUUUUGACCAGAGCCCUUUGGGUCCCAUUCAGAAGCAGCCUGUGUUAGUUUAAUCUGAGGUCAAGAGUCACUAUAACCAACUGUGUGUGUGUACAUGUCUCAGUGCAAAUGAAGUGUAGUGUAUUGCCCAAACAAUGUGAUGGCAUAUCAGGAAUAGAUGUUUACUAAAGCCAUCAUGCAGGUGUUUUAUAAUAGAAUUAUAGAUGGUUCUGUGGUUUUGCCCUAAGAUCUAUGCAUCAGUGUUCUGAGUCUAUGGUUCCACAGUUUAGUGUUCUAGAAUGCUUGUGUUCACAUACUGAAGUGAAGCGAGCCUAGCCAAUGUACGUUUGGCUGAGUGGUGAAGAAGUCAUUGAUUCCACCAGAUUUCUAUUGACAAGUAUAAUUCUCAUUGACUAAACUGUCUUGGUGCAUUUUGUUUCAGGAUUCUAGUUCCACCCUCUCUGUACUGCAGUCAGUCAAGAACUGAAAGACUGGGAUAUACAUGGGUAUUAUACACUGUGAUUCUUCUCUAAUGGAAUUAGCCCCUGCCAAGUCCUCAACAACUGGAUGUUCCAGUUUUCAGGGGAAAUGGAAAGAGCUUGUGACGCGACUUCUGUUUUUGGAUGUUAACAAGCCGACACUCAACUUAACUCCGUAACAUUUACUGUAUUGGUUGCAGUGGAGAAGAGAACCUCUCCCGUCAUUUUUCUUCUCUCAUCAAGAUCAGUAUUGUCUUGUUCAAGACAACUGGGAACUCGGAGACAAACGAGCUCCGACUGGGAAAAAAUGAUUUGAACGUCCGUCCUGCUCGGAGUUCCAAGUUGGAAACUCUUGCAUCUUUCCACAGCUCCGAGCCGAAGAUCACCGACGUCAUGAUUUGACCACGGUUAUUUCCGAGUUCCCAGUUGUCUCUAAAGCACCACAAGUCAGGGAUCACUGGCGCUUUCGAGACAACUGGGAACUGGGGGGGAAACCUGGUCAAAUCAUUUCAGUGAUCUUCAGGUCGGGAAGUCGAAGCUGUAGAAAGAUGCCGGAGUUUACGAUCUUGAAUUGCGAGUUGGAUGACAGUUGGAGCUCAUUUUCAGAAGUCCUAAUUCCCAGGUGAUUUUUGGACGCAGCCCUUGUUUAAGGCGUUUCUUUUACGCCUGCGAUGUUAGGUUACAUCCUUACUGAUGUAGAAGUUGUGGUAAUACAAACGUACCACCAGGGGACAAUGUCUUCUUGACAGAGAGCAACAGAAACUGAAACGCCCGCUUCCCAGAUGCAGCCCUAUUCCCUAUAUUAAAAAGGAAUUUAACUAGGCAAGUCAGUUAACACAUUCUUAUUUACAAUGACAGCCUUCCCCGGGCCUAAUGUGCACCGCCCUAUUGGACACCCAAUCACAGCCAGAUGUGACACAGCCUGGAUUCAAACCAGGGAGUGUAGUAAUGCCCAACUCAACUCUGGACCUUGAACCCUGUGACCCUUCUUUUUAAAAAUUGUUUCCCUCUAAUUAGGUUUUGAUUUAGACCUGGGACACCAGAGCCCUAUAUAGCCUGCUCAAGUUGUAGAACUGAAGUAUAUGCAUUUGGUGGUUGUAAUAAAGGUGUUCUGAACAAAAA
Molecule: long non-coding RNA, 4166 nt
Organism: Oncorhynchus gorbuscha (pink salmon)
Lineage: Eukaryota; Metazoa; Chordata; Actinopteri; Salmoniformes; Salmonidae
Exons: 8
Source: RefSeq, a predicted model, not a curated record